UGGGGAAUAUUGGACAAUGGGCGAAAGCCUGAUCCAGCCAUGCCGCGUGUGUGAAGAAGGUCUUCGGAUUGUAAAGCACUUUAAGUUGGGAGGAAGGGCAGUUACCUAAUACGUGAUUGUUUUGACGUUACCGACAGAAUAAGCUCCGGCUAACUACGUGCCAGCAGCCGCGGUAAUACGUAGGGAGCAAGCGUUGUUCGGAUUUACUGGGCGUAAAGCGCGCGUAGGUGGUUUGUUAAGUUGAAUGUGAAAUCCCCGGGCUCAACCUGGGAACUGCAUCCAAAACUGGCAAGCUAGAGUAUGGUAGAGGGUAGUGGAAUUUCCUGUGUAGCGGUGAAAUGCGUAGAUAUAGGAAGGAACACCAGUGGCGAAGGCGACUACCUGGACUGAUACUGACACUGAGGUGCGAAAGCGUGGGGAGCAAACA
RNAcentral lists this ribosomal RNA (427 nucleotides) under uncultured bacterium. Its description in RNAcentral is "bacterial SSU rRNA". It matches the Rfam family "Bacterial small subunit ribosomal RNA", at positions 355 to 774 of the family's 1533-position model. The record is from RNAcentral.